UGUAUACUCCCUCCGUCCGGAAAUACUUGUCGUAGAAAUGGAAACAAAUGGAUGUAUAGAACUAAAAUGCAUCUAGAUAUAUCCACUCCUUGGACAAGUAUUUCUGGGACGGAGGGAGUACAUG
Non-coding RNA from Triticum urartu, 124 nucleotides. Lineage: Eukaryota; Viridiplantae; Streptophyta; Magnoliopsida; Poales; Poaceae. The record is from Rfam.